CAGCUGUGGGGGUCCUCUAUCACUCCCAGUGAAACAGUAUUCCCACUACUUUAAUCACAGAUCACAGAGCGACACAGAAUACUGCUUCCCUUUAGCCCUCCAUGUUGGAUCUCCCAUAUUUCCUAUUUUAAAUGAAUACUAGUGACUUUUAGGAUUCUUUCUUCACAGGCUGCUUUGUAUCGCCUCAGUGGAGACUGGAAUCCCUUACACAUUGACCCUAACUUUGCUAGCCUUGCAGGUGAGUUGAUAGUAUGUAUCAAUGAAGAAUGUUAGCUACUGCUACUUAUGACAGGUAAUUUGAGUAACAUUUUUUAAAAAAGAUCUCUUAUUAUAUUUAUGCUAAAGAUCCAUCUAUAACUAAAAAUAUUUUUUAAAACUAGAUAUGGAAGUAGUGUUCAGAAAAUGAUAUACUUGAAAUUCAGGUUAUGGUGGAGUGAACUCCUGCUAGUGUAAGAUCUAGAAUAGGACUAUGGGGAAGGCUAAGUUAACAUAAAGGACAAGGAUAUUUCUUAGAAGAGAGCAAUGACAGGGAGGAAUCAGUGGUGUACACAGAUUUUGAAAUAGAUCACCAUGGGUGAUUUCAUGUCACAAUUAAAACUAAUAAUUCUUUUUUUUCCCCCAGAUCUCACAUCCUUUUCUUCUUUAUUAAUUUCAUGAUUUUCUAUCAGAAACCACUAUUUGCAAAAAAUAUUUUCCAUGUUUCUUAAAAUAGAUAGUAUAGUUCAGGCUAAUUUAAAAACUAUUUAAAAAAUCCUGAAUUAACUUGGUACUUUUUUUUUUUUAACAUGAAAUUGUCUAUAUCCACCUAAAUUCUGUAUAUUUUUUUAGGCUUUGAAAAGCCCAUAUUACACGAAUUAUGUACCUUUGGAUUUUCUGCCAGGCAUGUUUUACGGCAGUUUGCGGAUAAUGAUGUGUCAAGGUUCAAGGCAAUUAAGGUAUAUGAACAUUAUUAUGUAAUUUGAAUAUUAGUUCUUUAUUUUCUAUGAUUAAAGAAGUUUAGUGUUUAAAAUAAGUACUAUAUUGCAACAAUAGACAUUUUAAUUAUUUCAUUGAGUUGGCAGUCUUCACAUUUUCCUUUUGUAGCUAUAAAUAGCUGUUUUACCCAUGCACCACAAAGGAUAUCCUAUAUGGUUUUUUGUUUUUUUUUUUAAUUGCUUUAAUUUUUUUAAAUACAUGACAGCAGAAUGCAUCACAAUUCUUAUUUCACAUAUGAACACCAUUUUUCAUAUCUCUGUAUAUAAAGUAACAUAUUAAUUGGAUUAUUUUAUAAAUUAGGUGUAUACAUAGAUAUCAGCAUCUGUUUUUAAAAGAUUUUCAUUUUUCUGUUUUGUAAUUUGCGUUAAUUUAAUAGAAAAUGUAAAGUAGCUGUAUUUGAACUCUAACAUGCUUUCUGUAAUGUGAUGGCUGCAUAUUAUUUUUAGUUUUUAUACUUUUCAAAUGUUUAUCCAUUUUAAAUAAUAAGAGAAAAUAUCUGUGCUCUCAGUAUUUUUGCAUAAAGUCAAAAGAUGUACACUUAAAAGUUUUUGAAGGUACUCGAUACUGCCUUAAAUAUUUUAUUAGUGUAUACCCCAUGCAGUAGUGAAAAUGCAUUUUCUGAUGUCUUGCCCUUGAUAACAUUGUUUUCAUGCUCUUUAGUAUCACUAUGUUUAAGUAUAUAAUUGUGUACAGAUUCAAUGAAAUAUAGAAAAUUAUGAACUAGUAAAAAUUACGUUGCUUUAUAUACCAGUCAGGCCUUAUACCCUGACUUAGACCAUGUUUAACUCUUUAAGUACCUGUGGUUGUUAUGUAUGUAACUCACCUAAUGAUUAUGGUUUUGUUUCUUGAUUUGUCAAGAUACUUUGUAGUAUCUUGAUUCAAAUUGAUUCAGUAUUUAAAAGAAUUUUAGCUUAUUAAUGCAGUAUCUAUAGUAUUUCUCUACUAAUUUGUUGAUAGUUUGAGUCUAAACAUUUUUAAGCCUCUAUUUUCUUUAUGCUCUCUAACCACUCUAGUUUCCCCUUCCUAGUAUAAUAGUUUUAUUUUAAAAGGACUUUUAACCCCCACUUUCUUUCCUCCCUCCCUAAAAGACUCGUUUUGCAAAACCAGUAUAUCCGGGACAAACUCUACAAACUGAAAUGUGGAAGGAAGGAAACAGGAUUCAUUUUCAAACUAAGGUAUGAAUAAUGCUCCUGAUAGCUUUUGUUGUUGU
This 2185-nucleotide long non-coding RNA is filed under the name Marmota monax (woodchuck). The record is from RNAcentral. Lineage: Eukaryota; Metazoa; Chordata; Mammalia; Rodentia; Sciuridae.